RNAcentral lists this ribosomal RNA (458 nucleotides) under uncultured Paraglomus. RNAcentral describes it as "SSU rRNA". It matches the Rfam family "Eukaryotic small subunit ribosomal RNA", at positions 569 to 1032 of the family's 1831-position model. Lineage: Eukaryota; Fungi; Glomeromycota; Glomeromycetes; Paraglomerales; Paraglomeraceae. The record is from RNAcentral.
AGCAGCCGCGGUAAUUCCAGCUCCAAUAGCGUAUAUUAAAGUUGUUGCAGUUAAAAAGCUCGUAGUUGAAUUUCAGGCCUGGCUGGACGGUCCGCCCUUCGGGUGAGUACUGUCUGUGGUCGGGUCCUACCUUCUGGCGAAGCGUCAUGGCCUUAACCGGCCGUGGCGGGGAACCAGGACUUUUACUGUGAAAAAUUAGAGUGUUCAAAGCAGGCAAUCGCUUGGAUACAUUAGCAUGGAAUAAUGGAAUAGGACAAUGGUUCUAUUUGUUGGUUUCUAGGACCGUUGUAAUGAUUAAUAGGGAUAGUUGGGGGCAUUAGUAUUCAAUUGUCAGAGGUGAAAUUCUUGGAUUUAUUGAAGACUAACUACUGCGAAAGCAUUUGCCAAGGAUGUUUUCAUUAAUCAAGAACGAAAGUUAGGGGAUCGAAGACGAUCAGAUACCGUCGUAGUCUUAACCA